Molecule: ribosomal RNA, 447 nt
Filed under: uncultured bacterium
Lineage: Bacteria
Description: bacterial SSU rRNA
Rfam family: Bacterial small subunit ribosomal RNA
Source: RNAcentral
CUGCCAGACUCCUACGGGAGGCAGCAGUGGGGAAUAUUGCACAAUGGGGGAAACCCUGAUGCAGCGACGCCGCGUGAGUGAAGAAGUAUCUCGGUAUGUAAAGCUCUAUCAGCAGGGAAGAAAAUGACGGUACCUGACUAAGAAGCCCCGGCUAACUACGUGCCAGCAGCCGCGGUAAUACGUAGGGGGCAAGCGUUAUCCGGAUUCACUGGGUGUAAAGGGAGCGUAGACGGCCAUGCAAGCCUGGAGUGAAAGCCCGGGGCCCAACCCCGGGACUGCUCUGGGAACUGUGCGGCUGGAGUGCGGGAGGGGCAGGCGGAAUUCCUGGUGUAGCGGUGAAAUGCGUAGAUAUCAGGAGGAACACCGGCGGCGAAGGCGGCCUGCUGGACCGCGACUGACGUUGAGGCUCGAAAGCGUGGGGAGCAAACAGGAUUAGAUACCCGUGUA